AAUCCCAGCACUUUGGGAGGCAACGGAGGGUAGAUCACCUGAGGUCAGGAGAUUCAGACAAUUCUGGCCAACGUGGUGAAACCCCAUCUUUACUAAAAUACAAAAAAAAAAAAAA
Sapajus apella (tufted capuchin) is the source of this 115-nucleotide long non-coding RNA. RefSeq lists it as uncharacterized. The transcript is spliced from 2 exons. NCBI's taxonomy places the organism in Eukaryota, Metazoa, Chordata, Mammalia, Primates, Cebidae. The record is from RefSeq and is a predicted model, not a curated record.